Molecule: ribosomal RNA, 440 nt
Filed under: uncultured bacterium
Lineage: Bacteria
Description: bacterial SSU rRNA
Rfam family: Bacterial small subunit ribosomal RNA
Source: RNAcentral
CCUACGGGAGGCAGCAGUGGGGAAUCUUGCGCAAUGCGCGAAAGCGUGACGCAGCAACGCCGCGUGGGGGAAGACGGCCUUCGGGUUGUAAACCCCUUUCAGUUGGGACGAAGGUCGGGCGGUGAAUAGCCGUUCCGGCUGACGGUACCUUCACAAGAAGCCCCGGCUAACUACGUGCCAGCAGCCGCGGUAAUACGUAGGGGGCAAGCGUUGUCCGGAAUCAUUGGGCGUAAAGAGCGUGUAGGCGGCCCGGUAAGUCCGCUGUGAAAGUCAAGGGCUCAACCCUUGAAUGCCGGCGGAUACUGUCGGGCUAGAGUCCGGAAGAGGCGAGUGGAAUUCCUGGUGUAGCGGUGAAAUGCGCAGAUAUCAGGAGGAACACCUACGGCGAAGGCAGCUCGCUGGGACGGUACUGACGCUGAGACGCGAAAGCGUGGGGAGCA